AUUGAACGCUGGCGGCAUGCUUUACACAUGCAAGUCGAACGGCAGCGCGGGCUUCGGCCUGGCGGCGAGUGGCGAACGGGUGAGUAGUGCAUCGGAACGUGCCCAGUAGUGGGGGAUAGCCCGGCGAAAGCCGGAUUAAUACCGCAUACGACCUGAGGGUGAAAGCGGGGGACCGAAAGGCCUCGCGCUAUUGGAGCGGCCGAUGUCGGAUUAGCUAGUUGGUGGGGUAAAGGCUUACCAAGGCGACGAUCCGUAGCUGGUCUGAGAGGACGACCUGCCACACUGGGACUGAGACACGGCCCAGACUCCUACGGGAGGCAGCAGUGGGGAAUUUUGGACAAUGGGGGCAACCCUGAUCCAGCCAUGCCGCGUGCGGGAAGAAGGCCUUCGGGUUGUAAACCGCUUUUGUUCGGGAAGAAAUCCUCUGGGCUAAUACCCCGGGGGGAUGACGGUACCGGAAGAAUAAGCACCGGCUAACUACGUG
Molecule: ribosomal RNA, 484 nt
Filed under: uncultured bacterium
Lineage: Bacteria
Description: partial 16S ribosomal RNA
Rfam family: Bacterial small subunit ribosomal RNA
Source: RNAcentral